RNAcentral lists this small RNA (406 nucleotides) under Histoplasma capsulatum. RNAcentral's name for it is "hypothetical RNA". RNAcentral also lists the same sequence under 1 other name. Lineage: Eukaryota; Fungi; Ascomycota; Eurotiomycetes; Onygenales; Ajellomycetaceae. The record is from RNAcentral.
GACUCUAGGCGGUUGGAGCGGUGAACGCCUUUUAUUUUGCUCCCGGCAUAAACGAAUUGAUCUACUUGCCAUCGGACACAAAACGCGGACAGAAAACGUGGACAUCCCAGCUUCGCUCCGUCCAGGACAGGGGUGAUAGCGAUUGAAGAGAGUAUAGGCCGUCCUCAACGCGAUCGAAGCCCAUGAUGAAAGCAAGCAAAGACUCUUGAAUCAAGCACGGAUCCUGGAUCGAGCACGUACGGUUUGCGAAGGAAAAGGAAAAUUAAGCAUGGAAGAAGUAGUAACUCGAGGAUACUAGUAAAUAUUCUUUUUCAAUGAAAGUCCCACCAAUAUAUGGAGUAACAUGGCCUUGGUUCCUACGACUUCUACCUCCUGAAAGCCAUGUAGUUGGGCAAUCUCAUUGUGA